CUCAAAACUCCAUUAAUUAAUAACUGAUGAGGUUUACAAGUAUUAAUAGAGAGAGCAACAAGGAAAUUCGAAAUGGUCAAGCAUGUGUAGUCAAAGGACAGGCUGGAACUCCUCUUGAAUCACUUGGCUGUGCUUUCUCACAUGCUUGCACUAGUAUAAAGGUAACUUCUCCUUUCCAGCAUCAUACAGGCUGUCAAAGUGAUCCCUUAUCCUUCCUUAACCUCACUUAUCUUCUUUGGUCGAGUUUCCUCUCUUCUCUUCACUAAGUUACCUUCUCAUCCCAUUAGAUAACUUCCCCAAGUAGUUACUGUGGUUAAAAUAAAGUUACCACAGUAAAACUCUAAAGUUCAGUAAGACAUUAGAGGAGUUUAGGAGGAAAUGGUCGAUGGUGCAAAGUUAGGGUCGGCUGUACGGACGGCCGUACGUGUUAAAAUGAGUUGUUCAGUACAUGGGGAGAUGGCUUAAGGAGUUGAGGAUGUGAGAAUGUGAAGGCAAAGGGAAGGAAGGUUAGGGAUCGACCAGGCCGUACAAGAGGCCGUACCGGCCGUACCGUCCGUACUGUCUGGGUCGAUCCAUAACUCGACCAAGAGGAAAGUUACCCGGGUGAAAGGGUUAAACGGCCAAAGGGGUUUUACUUUAGGAGAUAAGACCGUUUGGAUGGAUAGAGUGACCGCGGCUUAUCCUGACAGUCUGGCACAGGCUGUAAAGGCAAAAGGAGUCUCACCAAAAGAUGCCAUAAGCGUGUGAUCUUCCUCAAUGGUUUACAUUUGAAUUAAAGCAACCUUAUCCUUGACCACACAUGCUUAGAGCUUCUGAAUACCCUAAUGUCUCUCUCUAUAUAUUGUAAACUCUAUCUUGAUUAAUGAUUAACACGAGUUUGUCAGAUUCUCUCUCUAGUUCAUCAUGUUUCUCUUCUACAUUUCAUAAAUCAUCUCAUCUCACUUUAAUCUUUCUCUAAAUCUCUCAAUACCUGUUCAACUCUCUAGAAUCAUAUGGUAUCAGAGCCAGGUUGGCUUUGGUAUUGAGAUUUAGAGUGUUCUUCAGCUUCAGUUCAUACUCUUUCAUACUUUCUUUUCGGUUCUAACAAAGCAAGAUGGAGGGAAACUACAAGGUCAUUACGGUUCCUGUUGCGUUGAAGGGUGGUAGUAACUACCUGUUGUGGUCAAGGCUGGUGAAGACAGCCAUUGGGAGGCUAGGGCUGUGGAGUCACAUCACGGAUGAUGCAACCAAGCCAGUGGCUAAAGACGGAGAAGGAGCUGAAGGUGUGGGAGAUCAAGUUGCUGCUGCCGAGAAGAAGUGGAUUCAAGAAGACUUGAUGGUGCUUUCAGUGCUACAAGGGUCCCUUGAAGAGCAUCUCUUGGAGGCCUACAGCUACUGCGAGACUCCAAAACACCUGUGGGAGGUACUCCAGAAGACAUUUGGGAACGUUACCAAUCUGAACCGCGUGUAUGAGAUUAAGAAGGCCAUCAACACACUGGUUCAAGAUGGGGAAGAGUUCACCAAGCAUUUGGGCAAGUAUAGAUCCUUGUGGUCUGAGCUUGAAUCAUUGAGGCCAAGCACCGCGGAUCAAGAGCUACUCAUGGAGAGGAGGGAGCAGGAUCAGGUGUUUGGAUUGCUGCUGACACUAGAUCCUCCAUUCAAUGAUGUGAUCAAGCACAUGUUGAGGAUGCCGAGUCUUCCAUCUAUGGAGGAAGUGUGUGCGCAGAUUCAGAAGGAAGAGGGGUCACUUGGUAUGUUUGGAGGGAAAGGAGACAUGGCUCUGUCCAACAAGGCUGAAGCAAUCCAAGCACACAAGGCUGCUUACCGUGGAGAGGAAAGGAAGUUCAGUGGAAACUGUGACCAUUGCAAGUAUUAGAUUUGAUGAUUUAAAGAGUGAUUAACUCUAAUCUGAGAAUUAAAGAGAUUGGAGAUUAAGAACAAGAGAGAGACUUAAGAGAGAGAGACUCAAAACUCCAUUAAUUAAUACUGAUGAGGGUUUACAAGUAUAUAAAGAGAGAGCAACAAGGAAUUUCGAAAUGUAUAAGCAUGUGUAGUCAAAGGACAGGCUGGAACUCCUUUUGAAUCACUUGGCUGUGCUUUCUCACAUGCUUGCACUAGUAGAAAAGCAUCCUCUCCUUUCCAGCAUCAUACAGGCUGUCAAAGUGCUCCCUUAUCCUUCCUUAUCCUCUUUGGUCGAGUUUACUCUCUUCCCUUCACUAAGUUACCUUCUCAUGCCAUCAGAUAACUCCCCAAGUUGUUACUGUGGUUAAACUAAAGUUACCACAGUAAAACUCCAAAGUUACUGUCUACUCCAACUCUCUUCCUCUCUCAAUAUAUCAAC
This 2320-nucleotide long non-coding RNA is filed under the name Brassica napus (rape). RNAcentral describes it as "long non-coding RNA (BNAP_LNC021069)". Lineage: Eukaryota; Viridiplantae; Streptophyta; Magnoliopsida; Brassicales; Brassicaceae. The record is from RNAcentral.